RNAcentral lists this ribosomal RNA (307 nucleotides) under uncultured bacterium. RNAcentral's name for it is "bacterial SSU rRNA". It matches the Rfam family "Bacterial small subunit ribosomal RNA", at positions 28 to 348 of the family's 1533-position model. The record is from RNAcentral.
GAUAAACGCUGGCGGCGUGCCUAACACAUGCAAGUCGAACGCCCUUUUGCGCAAGUGAGAGGGAGUGGCGGACGGGUGAGUACCACGUGGGUACCUACCUUGAGGUGAGGAAUACCACCGAGAAAUCGGUGACAAGACCGCAUACGCUUGGCAACAAGCAAAGUCUCGCAAGAGACGCCACAAGAUGGGCCUGCGCCUGAUUAGCUAGUUGGUGAGGUAAUGGCNCACCAAGGCGACGAUCAGUAGCUGGUCUGAGAGGAUGAUCAGCCACACUGGGAUUGAGAACGGCCCAGACUCCUACGGGGGC